Molecule: non-coding RNA, 122 nt
Organism: Mesocricetus auratus (golden hamster)
Lineage: Eukaryota; Metazoa; Chordata; Mammalia; Rodentia; Cricetidae
Source: Rfam
GUCUACAGCCAUAUCACCCUGAAUGCACACAAUCUCCUCUGAUCUAGGAAGCUAAACAGGGUUAGGCCUGGUUAGUAUUUGGAUGGGAGACCAAUUUAGGGGCUAAUCAUGUGUUGGUUAAU